This 468-nucleotide ribosomal RNA is filed under the name uncultured bacterium. Its description in RNAcentral is "partial 16S ribosomal RNA". It matches the Rfam family "Bacterial small subunit ribosomal RNA", at positions 28 to 507 of the family's 1533-position model. The record is from RNAcentral.
GACGAACGCUGGCGGCGUGCCUAACACAUGCAAGUCGAACGGAAAGGCCCUGCCUUUGUGGGGAGCGCGAGUGGACAAAGGGUGAGUAACACGUGAGUAACCUGCCCCUCACGUAGGGAAAACUUCAGGAAACAGGCGCUAAUACCGGAAAGGAGCUCCCGCUGCAUGGUGGGGGUGGGAUAGUUUCGGCGGUUGGGGAUGGAAUCGCCGCCCAUAAGCUUGUUGGGGGGGUAGUGGAUUACCAAGGCAUGGAAGGGUAGCCUGCCUGGGAGGGUGGCCGGCCACAUUGGAACUGAGAUACGGCACAGACUCCAACGGGAGGCAACGGUGGGGUAUGUUGUAUUAUGGACGGGAGCCUGAUGCAGCAACGCCGCGUGGGGGAUGACGGCCUUCGGGUUGUAAACCUCUUCCGCCUGUGACGAAGCGUUAAUGACGGUAAUGGGUGAAGAAGCACCGGCUAACUACGUG